GGGUGUGGAGGCUCAGAAGGCAGGCCCGCUAUCCCCGUCACCCCAGGAUGAGGGGAAGAAGCAGCUGUCCCAGGUGGAACGUGGGACUUCGUCCAGGAAGAGAGAGAGCCACCCAAGAGCCAGAGCUCUCAAGUGCCAGUGGGAAAACCCGACCUGGAGAGCCUGCAGGCUAGAAAUCGGACACGAGAAUACGCUGUCCUCCAGAAGCGACCCCUGUCGCGCUAUGUCCCCCAUAACACCUGGGACCCCAGCUGGAACCACUGUCCUUACACGGGGAAGGAUGUGCUGCCCUGCGAAUCCUCCACGGUGGUAAGGAAGAGUAACACUAGUAACAAAAAAGUAACCAGUGGUAACCAGAGAAAAUCAAUGGCAACAAAAGUAAUUGACAAUGAUACGGAGUAACCAGUGGCAACAAAAGUCACCAUGGUAAUGACAAAUAAUCAGUGGGGACAAAAGCAACUGCUGGUCACAAGUAAUCAGUAGUAACAAAAGGGACAGCUGGUAAGGACAACCAGCACUUAAGUGUAAGCGGCCGCUGGUCACCACCAGUAACCCAGCGACUCCGGGGCAGGCCUGGCUCAGCCAGGCCACCUCGUGUAGCCUCCAAGGCCACCUCCAAGGAGGCGGGAGGCUCCCUGUAGGGCCUGGACCGCUGCUGCUCCUGGGCUGGGAACAUCCGUGUUCCUUUGAGCCUUCCCAGUCGCCGAGUGAAGCUGCCUGCCUUCCGAUGAAACCAUUGCGGGGGCCUCUGAGGAGGGGACCCUUCCUGCCUGGUUCUCACAGAAGUCACCAGAUUCACCUGACUCAAACUCAGUCAGAUUUCCAUCACCUUCCUGACUAGAGCACUGUGGGGCCUCCUGCUUCCUCCCACAGGCCUCAGCUCCCUGGUCAUCUCCCUGCAAAGACUGUCACCAGCUACCCCACGUGAAAGAGGUUCUGCACCGGAAGCCAGCCACCGUCACCAGGGUGGGGUUUUUAGUGAAACUACUUGAGCUCCCUGGUUUAAUUCCUGCUGUCCCCUGGGAUGUGCACAGAACAGAGGGCCCCCAGAGGAGGAGCUGUGUCUGGGGGAGGGUGGGAUCUGGCUCACCAGCGCCUGCAUGUCAUACAUGGUGCUCAGAUGGUCCCAGAUGACCUUGGAUGGGACCUGCCGACCAAUGUUCUGGCUGAACUUGUCCCGAAUACAGAUCAUGUGGAA
Molecule: long non-coding RNA, 1198 nt
Organism: Lutra lutra (Eurasian river otter)
Lineage: Eukaryota; Metazoa; Chordata; Mammalia; Carnivora; Mustelidae
Exons: 3
Source: RefSeq, a predicted model, not a curated record